GAUGAACGCUGGCGGCGUGCCUAAUACAUGCAAGUCGAGCGAACAGAUGAGGAGCUUGCUCCUCUGACGUUAGCGGCGGACGGGUGAGUAACACGUGGAUAACCUACCUAUAAGACUGGGAUAACUUCGGGAAACCGGAGCUAAUACCGGAUAAUAUAUUGAACCGCAUGGUUCAAUAGUGAAAGACGGUUUUGCUGUCACUUAUAGAUGGAUCCGCGCCGCAUUAGCUAGUUGGUAAGGUAACGGCUUACCAAGGCGACGAUGCGUAGCCGACCUGAGAGGGUGAUCGGCCACACGGGAACUGAGACACGGUCAAGACGCCUACGGGAGGCAGCAGUAGGGAAUCUUCCGCAAUGGGCGAAAGCCUGACGGAGCAACGCCGCGUGAGUGAUGAAGGUCUUCGGAUCGUAAAACUCUGUUAUUAGGGAAGAACAAAUGUGUAAGUAACUAUGCACGUCUUGACGGUACCUAAUCAGAAAGCCACGGCUAACUACGUG
This 497-nucleotide ribosomal RNA is filed under the name uncultured bacterium. Its description in RNAcentral is "partial 16S ribosomal RNA". It matches the Rfam family "Bacterial small subunit ribosomal RNA", at positions 28 to 507 of the family's 1533-position model. The record is from RNAcentral.